GGUAUUGUAAUAAGAUUUUAAUUGAAUGCUAAGAGAAUGGAAUUACAGGGAAUAACUAUUUAAAACUUAAAAAUUAAAAUUAUUUUAAUUUGUGAAGAAACAAUUAUUAAAAUUAAGGACAAGAAGACCCUAUGAAUUUUAAAAUAAUUAAUUUCUUAUAAGAAAUUAAUUAUUUUUAGUUGGGGCAACUAGAAAAUAUUAUAAACUUUUUAUAUAAUAAAAUGACCCAUUAUUAAUGAUUAUUUGAGAAAAAUACUCUAGGGAUAACAGCGUAAUAAUUUUUGAUAGAACCUAUAGACAAAAUAGUUUGCGACCUCGAUGUUGGAUUAGGAUAC
RNAcentral lists this ribosomal RNA (335 nucleotides) under Dermacentor variabilis (American dog tick). RNAcentral describes it as "partial 16S ribosomal RNA". The record is from RNAcentral. Lineage: Eukaryota; Metazoa; Arthropoda; Arachnida; Ixodida; Ixodidae.